RNAcentral lists this long non-coding RNA (1027 nucleotides) under Capsicum annuum. RNAcentral describes it as "long non-coding RNA (CANN_LNC020165)". Lineage: Eukaryota; Viridiplantae; Streptophyta; Magnoliopsida; Solanales; Solanaceae. The record is from RNAcentral.
AGGCGGAGUCAGGAUUUUUGAAGUUUAUGGGUUCUGAACUUGCCACUGAACUCAUAACUCGUUUUCGUUACUACAAAAUAUUUGCAAAUAUAGGGUCUGAGCCAAGCUUUUGUGCUUGUGUGGACCCGUGCUUGUACUAUAGCUCCGCCCCUGAAACCUUUUGUGCUCGUGUGAACCCGUGCUUGUACUAUGGCUCUGACCCUCAAAGCUUUUGUGCUUGUGUGGACCUGUGAUUGUACUAUAGCUCCGCCCCUGAAACCUUUUGUGCUUGUGUGGACCCGUGCUUGUACUAUGGCUCCGCCCCUAAAUCUUGAUUAUAACUUCUUGUUUUCAUAGGCUGAGUCUACAAACCCAUCGAACGAGUCUGUGCUGAAAGUUGCCCUUGAUCGCGGGAAGGCCUCGGGAGUUGUGAAGUCCCACGACCGAGUUGUCGUGUGCCAGAAAGUCGGAGACGCGGCGGUGGUUAAGAUUAUUGAACUUGAAGAUUAAGCUUUUAGUUGUUCUCAUGCCCAUCACAAAUGAAGUUCUACUAUCUAAGUUUUGGUAGCUACAAUACGUGUUAUUCUAUAGUUGUAUGUAUCACGCUAAGUUGCACGGACUAUUCACUUUCAAUGCCGCACCCGUGUCGGAUUCUUCAAAAAUACACUUGCUUUGGAGAAUCCGACACGCAUCUGUUGACGUUUUUGAAGAAUCCGAGCAACAUCGGGUAUAAUGUGGCAAUUCUUGUGGACAAAACUUGCAAUAAUUGUGAAAAUUAUGGGGAAAAAGGUAUAAUGUUCUAUUUUUAGUUUAUUACCAAAUAUGUUUUAAUAAACAACAACAACAACAUACUAAUGUAAUUUCAUAAGUGGGAUCUCGAAACUGUAGGAUCUAUGAAAAUUUUAUUCCACCAUUCGUGGGGGCGGAGAGAUCGUUUCUGAUAGAUCAGGCUCGAAAGAAAUGUGUUCGAGAAAAUGUAAAGAAACAUGAAUUUCAUAUUUUAGACGUGAUUUUUGGAUUUGAAGUUUAUGAAAUUUGACUUGUUAUA